CACCAACACACUUUUGCUAUUCAUCUAAUCAGUAUAUAUUUAUUGAGCACCUUCUUGGCAUAUGGCAUUGUGAUAUGCACUGAGAUUACAUUGAUGAACAAGAAAAACAGUCUUCAUCUGCAGGGGGUCCACAGUUUAUGAAGGAGGCAGACAAGUGAAUGCGAAGAUGCCAUUCUCAGAUAGGGGACGUGGAUAAGGAAAAGGCCACGGAGGAGAAGGCGUGACCUGAUAGGCUUGGGGGCGGGGUGUGGGAAACCGUAUUCUGAGAGAACUGAGGCCUAAGCUGAGAUCUGAAGGAUGAGUUAGAAUGAGCCAAGCAAUAGGGAAGAGGAGUAUUUCAGGCAGAGGAAAUAGCAUGAGCAAAGAUCUGAGGAUCACAUUUCCCCAGCAUUGGAUGAAAACCUGCUGUUUGAGCUAAGAACCAGAAAAAUCCAUACUGAAAUUCAUAAGGAAUCACAAGGAACCCACAAAGCCAAAACAAUCCUGAAAAAGAACAAAGCUGGAGAACUUAGACUUAGGAUUUCAAAUCUUUCAAAGGUUGCCAAGACCAUUCAUCUGGGAAAAGAUGAUCUUUUUAACAAACGGUGUUGCAAAAACUGGAUAUCCAUAUACAGAAGAAUGAAGCUGGACUUUCACUUUAUACCAUAUACAAAACUUACCUAAAAUGGACCAAAGACUUAAACAUAGGAUCUAAAACUGUAAACUCUUACAAGAAAACAUAAAGGAAAUGCUUUAUGUCAUUGGAAUUGGCAAUGUUAGGGUCAGGGUUAGGGUUAGGGUAAUGAUUGCUUGGAUAUGACAGCAAACGCAGAAGUAACAAAAAAAAACUAGGUAAACAGAACUUCACAAAGGAUACUGCUAGGUAAAUAGAACUUCACAAGGACACUAGUGAAAAGGGAGAAGGGAGUGAAAAGGGAGAAAGGGAGAAAAUAUUUGUAAAUCGCGUAUGUGAUAAGGGAUUAAUAUCCAGAAUACACACAGAAUGCCUACAACUCAACAACAAAAAACUCAAUCUGAUUAAAACUUGGACAAAAGAUUUGAAUAGACAUUUCUCCAGAGAAGAUAUUCAAGUGACCAAUAAGCACACAAACAGAUGAUCAACAUCCUUAAUCAUUAGGAAAAUGCAAAUCAAAUCUAUGAGAUCCUAUUAGAAUGACUAUUAAUAAAACAAAUAAUCAAAACAGAAAAUAACAAGUGUUGGCAAGGAUGUGGGGAAAUAGGAACCUCUGAGCAUUGCUGGUGGGAAUGUAAAAUGGUACGGCUGUUUCUCAAAAAAUAAAACGUAGAGUUACCUUAUGAUCCAUUAUGGGUAUAUAUCCAAAAGAGUUAAAAGCAAAAAUAUCUGUACACCCAUGUUCAUAGUAGUAUUAUUCACAAUAGCCAAAAAGUAGAAGCAGCCCAAAUGUCCAUCAACAGAAAAAUGGACAAACCAAAUGCUGUAGGUGCAUACAAUAGAAUAUAAUUCAGCCUUAAAAAGGAAGGAAAUCCUAACAUAUGCUGCAACAUGAAUGAACCUUAAAGACAUUAUAUUAAGCAAAAUACUCCAGUCACAUGAGGACAACUAUUAAGUGGUCCAUCCUUACAAGUAAGGUACCUCGGGUCAUCAAAAUCUAGAGACAGAAAGUGGAACGGUGGUUGUCAGAGGCUGGAGGCAGGAGAAAAUGAGGGAGGAAAUUAAAACUGAUUAAACAGUUAAAUCCACUGUUUAAUGAGUAUGAAGUUUUCAUUAGGAAGAAAAAGUUCUGGAACCACCUGGAGAGGGAUUGUGGUGAUGGCUGCAAUUGUACUUAAUGCCACCGAACUGUAUACUUUCAAAUGGUUAAAAUGGUAAAUGUUAAGCCCUGUAUAUUUCACCAUAAUUUAAAUACACACACACACACACACACACACACACACACAC
This is a long non-coding RNA of Capra hircus (goat), 1900 nucleotides long. RefSeq lists it as uncharacterized. The record is from RefSeq and is a predicted model, not a curated record. The transcript has 3 exons. NCBI's taxonomy places the organism in Eukaryota, Metazoa, Chordata, Mammalia, Artiodactyla, Bovidae.